AUUGAACGCUGGCGGCAUGCCUUACACAUGCAAGUCGAACGGUAACAGGUCUUCGGAUGCUGACGAGUGGCGAACGGGUGAGUAAUACAUCGGAACGUGCCUAGUAGUGGGGGAUAACUACUCGAAAGAGUGGCUAAUACCGCAUGAGAUCUACGGAUGAAAGCAGGGGAUCGCAGGACCUUGUGCUACUAGAGCGGCCGAUGGCAGAUUAGGGAGUUGGUGGGAUAAAAGCUUACCAAGCCGACGAUCUGUAGCUGGUCUGAGAGGACGAUCAGCCACACUGGGACUGAGACACGGCCCAGACUCCUACGGGAGGCAGCAGUGGGGAAUUUUGGACAAUGGGCGAAAGCCUGAUCCAGCAAUGCCGCGUGCAGGAUGAAGGCCUUCGGGUUGUAAACUGCUUUUGUACGGAACGAAAAGCCCCGGGUUAAUACCCUGGGGUCAUGACGGUACCGUAAGAAUAAGCACCGGCUAACUACGUGCCAGCAGCCGCGGUAA
RNAcentral lists this ribosomal RNA (498 nucleotides) under uncultured bacterium. RNAcentral describes it as "partial 16S ribosomal RNA". It matches the Rfam family "Bacterial small subunit ribosomal RNA", at positions 30 to 523 of the family's 1533-position model. The record is from RNAcentral.